This 235-nucleotide unclassified non-coding RNA is filed under the name plant metagenome. Its description in RNAcentral is "partial contains small subunit ribosomal RNA, internal transcribed spacer 1, and 5.8S ribosomal RNA". The record is from RNAcentral.
UCUCCGUUGGUGAACCAGCGGAGGGAUCAUUACCGAAGUUACCUUCAAAACCCACUGUGAACCUUACCUCUUGCCGCGUUGCCUCGGCGGGAGGCGGUGUGCGUCGCGCGCCCUAGCGGGCCGCGCCGCUCCCGUCCCCGCCGGCAGGGCCAAACUCUAAAUGCACAGCGGACUGUACGUUCUGAUUUACAAAAAAAACAAGUUAAAACUUUCAACAACGGAUCUCUUGGUUCUG